GUACACCCUACGGGAGGCAGCAGUGGGGAAUAUUGGACAAUGGGCGCAAGCCUGAUCCAGCCAUGCCGCGUGAGUGAUGAAGGCCCUAGGGUUGUAAAGCUCUUUCACCGGUGAAGAUAAUGACGGUAACCGGAGAAGAAGCCCCGGCUAACUUCGUGCCAGCAGCCGCGGUAAUACGAAGGGGGCUAGCGUUGUUCGGAUUUACUGGGCGUAAAGCGCACGUAGGCGGACUAUUAAGUCAGGGGUGAAAUCCCGGGGCUCAACCCCGGAACUGCCUUUGAUACUGGUAGUCUUGAGUUCGAGAGAGGUGAGUGGAAUUCCGAGUGUAGAGGUGAAAUUCGUAGAUAUUCGGAGGAACACCAGUGGCGAAGGCGGCUCACUGGCUCGAUACUGACGCUGAGGUGCGAAAGCGUGGGGAGCAAACAGGAUUAGAAACCCGUGUAGUCCCAUG
RNAcentral lists this ribosomal RNA (451 nucleotides) under uncultured organism. RNAcentral's name for it is "partial 16S ribosomal RNA". It matches the Rfam family "Bacterial small subunit ribosomal RNA", at positions 333 to 799 of the family's 1533-position model. The record is from RNAcentral.